AUGUCGAUCACGCCGGGGCCGCCCCCUCCCGCCCCCUGGCGGCCGGCGCGACCCGAUUGGUCGGAGGAGGUCGGCGAGGCGGAAAACCCGGGGCGGAUUUCUGGGCGCUUUUGUUCCCGCAGUGCAGAUUUCCCUGGCCCGGCCCUGGAGAUGAGUGAACGGGUGAACCGAGGUACGGACGUGGUUAGGCUGAUGACAGCACAGCUGCCAUUCCUGCGGUGGGUGGCUGUACGGGGUGCCCAGUCCAGGACUACUUGGGCCAGGACCGAGCUUCUCAAUGUCUGCAUGGACACCACGCACCACAAGGAAAAGGCAGGCCUGGAGGACAAUUGUACGAGCAGUGCAGCCCGUGGAAGAAGAACUCCUGGUGCUCCACCAACAGCAGCCAGGAAGCCCAUAAAGACAUCUCCUGCCUAUACAGUUUCAACUGGGACCACUGUGGAAAGAUGGAGCCUGCCUGCAAAUGGCACUUCAUCCAGGACACCUGCCCCUGCAAGUGCUCCCCCAACUUGGGGCCCUGGAUUCAGCAGGUGAAUCGGAGCUGGCGCAAAGAGCGGACCCUUGACGUGCUCUUGAGCGCAUCGCGCCCCUCCCACACUGCUGGGAGGAUGGCCGCACCUCCUCCACCUGCAAGAGCACCUGGCACAGGGGCUGGAACUGGCGUUCAGGUAUAACCAGUGUCCCGUGGGAGCUGCCUGCCAUCCCUGCUGUGUGUGAGGAAACGUGGAGUCACUCCUACAAGGCCAGCAACUACAGCCGUGGGAGCAGCCACUGAAUCCAGAUGUGGUUUGACCCAGCCUCAGGGCAUCCCUACGAGGAGGUGGUGAGGUUCUAUGCUGAAGCCAUGAGUGGAGCCCGGCUCCAUGGUGCCUGGUUUCUCCCGCCCAGCCUGUCCCAGCUGCUGUGGCUGCUCACUCACCUGAGUUCCUUCCUCUCUGAGCUGAUGCACACUGAUGGAGUGCAGUCACCCCACACCACAGCAAGACCUUCCAUCCACCGCUGUCACGCAUCAGGACCGAAGGACACUUUGGGCCGUGUGUACCAGGUAGUCCAGCCCAAAGGCUCUGACAUUGCUGAGGUGUCCUUGGCUCGAUCACACCCCUUGUUCAUCACAAACACAGAACGAUACAAGGACGAGAACCAAGGGCAGUCACGGGACCUGGGGCGGGCACUGCAGCCUUGCACCGGGUCCUUCCUGUGUUCUGCAGACACGCUUACCCGCUGA
Molecule: non-coding RNA, 1225 nt
Organism: Castor canadensis (American beaver)
Lineage: Eukaryota; Metazoa; Chordata; Mammalia; Rodentia; Castoridae
Source: RefSeq, a predicted model, not a curated record